GUAUAAGAGAGGCCUGGGCAGCUCUACCCCAGAGGUGAGGUCUAAGAAGGGGCUACGUGCACCAUGGCCUGGUCUCCUCUCCUCCUCCUGCUUCUCUCUCAAUGCACAGGUUCCCUUUCCCAGACUGUGCUGACUCAGCCACCAUACCUCUCUGCCUCCCCGGGAUCAACAGCCAGACUCACCUGCACCCUGAGUAGUGACCUCAGUGUUGGUGGUAAAAACAUAUAUUGGUACCAGCAGAAGCCAGGGAGUCCUCCCCAGCUGUACCUGUACUACUACUCAGACUCAGACAAGCAACUGGGGCCUGGGGUCCCCAACAGAGUCUGUGGAUCCAAAGAUGCUUCAGCCAACACAGCAUUUUUGCACAUUUCUGGACUCCAGCCUGAGGAUGAGGCUGAUUAUUACUGUCAGGUGUCCACAAGCAAUGCUUAUCACAGUGGCCCAGGCAGAUGA
Sciurus carolinensis (gray squirrel) is the source of this 453-nucleotide non-coding RNA. The record is from the annotation of a RefSeq genome assembly. Lineage: Eukaryota; Metazoa; Chordata; Mammalia; Rodentia; Sciuridae.